This is a long non-coding RNA of Etheostoma cragini (Arkansas darter), 135 nucleotides long. RefSeq lists it as uncharacterized. The record is from RefSeq and is a predicted model, not a curated record. The transcript has 3 exons. NCBI's taxonomy places the organism in Eukaryota, Metazoa, Chordata, Actinopteri, Perciformes, Percidae.
AAAUGAAGUGAAAACAACAACACAUGUUGAGCAGCUGUUGGUGGUUAAAGAAGAGGUUCCCCCUGAGCAGCAGGAGUGUAGCUCCAGGGUGGACCAGCAGGAGCCAGAUUCCCCCCCACACAUUAAAGAGGAGCA